This 253-nucleotide ribosomal RNA is filed under the name uncultured bacterium. RNAcentral's name for it is "partial 16S ribosomal RNA". It matches the Rfam family "Bacterial small subunit ribosomal RNA", at positions 524 to 776 of the family's 1533-position model. The record is from RNAcentral.
UACGUAGGUGACCAGCGUUGUCCGGAUUUACUGGGCGUAAAGAGCGCGCAGGCGGUCGUUCAAGUCGAGUGUGAAAGCCCCCGGCUCAACUGGGGAGGGUCAUUCGAUACUGAUCGACUCGAAGGCAGGAGAGGGAAGCGGAAUCCCCGGUGUAGUGGUGAAAUGCGUAGAUAUCGGGAGGAACACCAGUGGCGAAGGCGGCUUCCUGGCCUGUUCUUGACGCUGAGGCGCGAAAGCUAGGGGAGCAAACGGG